GUGGGGAAUAUUCCGCAAUGGACGAAAGUCUGACGGAGCAACGCCGCGUGAGUGAUGAAGGUUUUCGGACUGUAAAGCUCUGUUGUUUAGGACGAAAGUGCCUGUUGCAAAUAGUUACAGGUAUUGACGGUACUGAACGAGGAAGCCACGGCUAACUACGUGCCAGCAGCCGCGGUAAUACGUAGGUGGCAAGCGUUGUCCGGAAUUAUUGGGCGUAAAGAGCAUGUAGGCGGGAAUCUAAGUCUGUUGUGAAAAUGCGGGGCUCAACCCCGUAUUGCGAUGGAAACUGGGUUUCUUGAGUGCAGGAGAGGAGAGGGGAAUUCCCAGUGUAGCGGUGAAAUGCGUAGAUAUUGGGAGGAACACCAGUGGCGAAGGCGCCUUUCUGGACUGUGUCUGACGCUGAGAUGCGAAAGCCAGGGUAGCGAACGGGAUUAGAAACCCUUGUAGUCC
This 450-nucleotide ribosomal RNA is filed under the name uncultured bacterium. Its description in RNAcentral is "partial 16S ribosomal RNA". It matches the Rfam family "Bacterial small subunit ribosomal RNA", at positions 354 to 796 of the family's 1533-position model. The record is from RNAcentral.